UACGUAGGGUGCAAGCGUUGUCCGGAAUUAUUGGGCGUAAAGAGCUCGUAGGCGGUUUGUCGCGUCUGCUGUGAAAACUCAGGGCUUAACCCUGAGCUUGCAGUGGGUACGGGCAGACUAGAGUGCGGUAGGGGAGACUGGAAUUCCUGGUGUAGCGGUGAAAUGCGCAGAUAUCAGGAGGAACACCGAUGGCGAAGGCAGGUCUCUGGGCCACUACUGACGCUGAGAAGCGAAAGCAUGGGGAGCGAACAGG
This 253-nucleotide ribosomal RNA is filed under the name uncultured bacterium. RNAcentral's name for it is "partial 16S ribosomal RNA". It matches the Rfam family "Bacterial small subunit ribosomal RNA", at positions 524 to 776 of the family's 1533-position model. The record is from RNAcentral.